CUAGGUUUUGACUUUUUAUCUGUGGAUUUAUUUUCAGUGGAGAGAACACACGAUUUUGAAUGCUUCUGCAAGCACUUCAGAUGCUUCGUUUGACUUGCAACUAAUCUACACGUCUUCUAGAGGACCUGAACCCUAGGACCAUGCCUCAGGACAACCUGGCCUGAUGACUCCUCACUGUCCCCAGUCCACCUGGUCGUGCUGCUGCUCCAGUUUCAACUGUUCUGCCUGCGGCUAUGGAACCCGGACGUCCUACCUGUCCCAGACCUGCUGUUUUCAACUCUCUAGAGACAUCAGGAGCGGUAGAGAUACCGUGAAUAAUCGGCUAUGAAAAGCCAACUGACAUUUACUCCUGAGGUGCUGACCUGUUGCAUGCUCUACAACCACUGUGAUUAUUAUUAUUUCACCCUGCUGGUCAUCUAUGAAGAUUUGAACAUCUUGGCCAUGUUCUGUUAUAAUCUCCCCCUGGCACAGCCAGAAGAGGACUGGCCACCCCUCAUAGCCUGGUUCCGCUCUAGGUUUCUUCCUAGGUUCCUGCCUUUCUAGGGAGUUUUUCCUAGCCACCGUGCUUCUACACCUGCAUUGCUUGCUGUUUGGGGUUUUAGGCAGGAUCAGCUGAUGUAAGAAGGGCUUUAUAAAUACAUUUGAUUGAAAUUUGAUUGAAUGUGCGGGGGCAUGGGUGUCAAGGUAAUUGAGGUAAUAUGUACAUGUAGGUAGAGUUAUUAAAGUGACUAUGCUAGAUAAUAACAGAGAGUAGCAGCAACGUCCCAAUCUAUAACUAGGGUGGCUGGAAUAUUUGACCCUUUUUAAGGCCUUCCUCUGACACCGCCUGGUAUAGAGGUCCUGGAUGGCAGGAAGCUUGGCCCCAGUGGUGUACUGGGCCGUACACAGGGGCGUUGCCAUGAAAAAAACACUCCUGGGCCCC
RNAcentral lists this long non-coding RNA (922 nucleotides) under Salmo salar (Atlantic salmon). RNAcentral's name for it is "lncRNA (ENSSSAG00000082317.1)". The record is from RNAcentral. Lineage: Eukaryota; Metazoa; Chordata; Actinopteri; Salmoniformes; Salmonidae.